This 158-nucleotide ribosomal RNA is filed under the name unidentified proteobacterium. RNAcentral's name for it is "partial ribosomal RNA". It matches the Rfam family "Bacterial small subunit ribosomal RNA", at positions 1211 to 1368 of the family's 1533-position model. The record is from RNAcentral. Lineage: Bacteria; Pseudomonadati; Pseudomonadota.
GGGCUACACACGUCAUACAAUGGCUGGUACAAAGGGUUGCCAACCCGCGAGGGGGAGCUAAUCCCAUAAAGCCAGUCGUAGUCCGGAUCGCAGUCUGCAACUCGACUGCGUGAAGUCGGAAUCGCUAGUAAUCGUGGAUCAGAAUGUCACGGUGAAUA